RNAcentral lists this ribosomal RNA (699 nucleotides) under uncultured bacterium. RNAcentral's name for it is "bacterial SSU rRNA". It matches the Rfam family "Bacterial small subunit ribosomal RNA", at positions 8 to 698 of the family's 1533-position model. The record is from RNAcentral.
AGAGUUUGAUCCUGGCUCAGAUUGAACGCUGGCGGCAUGCCUAACACAUGCAAGUCGAACGGAAACGAAGGAAGCUUGCUUCCAGGCGUCGAGUGGCGGACGGGUGAGUAAUGCUUGGGAAUCUACCGAGUAGUGGGGGAUAGCCAUUGGAAACGAUGAUUAAUACCGCAUAUAUCCUACGGGGGAAAGCAGGGGACCUUCGGGCCUUGCGCUAUUCGAUGAGCCUGAGUGAGAUUAGCUAGUUGGUGGGGUAAAGGCCUACCAAGGCGACGAUCUCUAGCUGGUCUGAGAGGAUGAUCAGCCACACUGGGACUGAGACACGGCCCAGACUCCUACGGGAGGCAGCAGUGGGGAAUAUUGCACAAUGGGCGAAAGCCUGAUGCAGCAAUGCCGCGUGUGUGAAGAAGGCCUUAGGGUUGUAAAGCACUUUCAAUAGAGAAGAAAAGCUUGAGAAUAAUACUCUCAAGUCUUGACGUAACCUAUAGAAGAAGCACCGGCUAAUUCCGUGCCAGCAGCCGCGGUAAUACGGAAGGUGCGAGCGUUAAUCGGAAUUACUGGGCGUAAAGCGCGCGUAGGCUGUUAAAUAAGUCGUAUGUGAAAUCCCCGGGCUUAACCUGGGAACUGCAUCCGAAACUAUUUAGCUAGAGUAUGGGAGAGGGAAGUAGAAUUUCCGGUGUAGCGGUGAAAUGCGUAGAUAUC